UCUCCGUUGGUGAACCAGCGGAGGGAUCAUUACCGAGUUAUUCUACCCCCAAACCCUUGGCAACUUAUACCUUUACGGUUGCGUCGGCGGGUUAACGCCCCGGAAGGCCCGCGAGGGCCGCCGGACCCAGGCGCCCGCCGGGGGACCCAAACUCAAGUAUCUUUUUUAUAGAAUUUCUGAGUGGAAUCAUAAACAAAUGAAUCAAAACUUUCAACAACGGAUCUCUUGGUUCUG
This 234-nucleotide unclassified non-coding RNA is filed under the name plant metagenome. RNAcentral describes it as "partial contains small subunit ribosomal RNA, internal transcribed spacer 1, and 5.8S ribosomal RNA". The record is from RNAcentral.